RNAcentral lists this transfer RNA (73 nucleotides) under Cavia porcellus (domestic guinea pig). RNAcentral describes it as "tRNA-Ala (TGC) (tRNA-Ala-TGC-7-1)". It matches the Rfam family "tRNA". From Rfam's summary of the family: Transfer RNA (tRNA) molecules are approximately 80 nucleotides in length. Their secondary structure includes four short double-helical elements and three loops (D, anti-codon, and T loops). The record is from RNAcentral. Lineage: Eukaryota; Metazoa; Chordata; Mammalia; Rodentia; Caviidae.
GGUGAUGUGGCUCAAUGGUAGAGCUCUUGCCUUGCAUGCAAGAGGCUCUGAGUUCAAUCCCCAGCACCAUUCA